AUCGCCUGCCUACAACUCAGUUUCGCAUAUCCCUGUCAAAACAUGUGCUGUAAUUCUACUGCACGGUAGUUGUACAUUAGCUAGCUGUAGUUUUGGUGCACCCUGCUGGAAAUAGCAGGGCAAACCAAGCAGCAGCAGCAUAUCACUUUUCUAACAUGACCGCGUGAGGGUGCGUUGAAAUUACUGUUUCGUGAGAACCAUAGGUAAUCUCGUUUCUUCCAUUAUCCAGGCCCCAAAACAAGUGCAACUCAGCCAACAUUCACCACUGUUGCGGCAUCCACCCGUGUGUUCUCUGCAAACACCUCCUCAAAUGCCAGCAAGUCCAGUGCUGCAAGAGAACGCCAUCCCAUCAUCACCACGCAUGUUUGUGGUGGUCCCACGUAAAUUGGAGUAUCGUUCACCUACAAGCAUGACAAAAACAAAACCAGUUGUGGUGCACCGAUCAACAUAUACACAGACAGACGUAGCUGCGAAAGCACUGCAGGAACGGGGUUGUCAGACAGAGCCAUGGGAACUGCCAGUUGAAAGAAACGCCACUGUCAACACGAGCUGCACAACAGCCCCGACUCCCGCAAACUCAAACACAGGAAGCCAGCCUGCUGAAACUGAUGAUGACGAUGAUGAUGAA
This is a long non-coding RNA of Ornithodoros turicata, 628 nucleotides long. RefSeq lists it as uncharacterized. Lineage: Eukaryota; Metazoa; Arthropoda; Arachnida; Ixodida; Argasidae. The transcript is spliced from 4 exons. The record is from RefSeq and is a predicted model, not a curated record.